AGUUCAUCCGCCACGGAAUUGAUAUCCCGACGUGGAGUAUUUUCACGACAUCAUUAUGGUUCAGUUGAUCAGUUACCCCAAACAGAUUUGGAUGGCAUUGAUCCCAACUUUAAACGAUUUCGUGUUGAAAAUGGAGAAUCUCUUGCUGAAAAAGAUGAGGUAUUCGGCUCGCCCAGUACACCAAUAUUGGAAAAUCCCGAACAUCAGACACGUUGGUAUUUCAAAUAUUUUUUGGGCAAAU
This is a long non-coding RNA of Musca vetustissima, 241 nucleotides long. RefSeq lists it as uncharacterized. The record is from RefSeq and is a predicted model, not a curated record. Lineage: Eukaryota; Metazoa; Arthropoda; Insecta; Diptera; Muscidae. The transcript has 3 exons.